UACAGAGGAGCCAAGCGUUGUCCGGAUUGACUGGGCGUAAAGCGCGCGCAGGCGGCUGCGCGCGUGGGGUGUGAAAUCUGGCCGCUUAACGGCCAGGCGCCAUCCCAUACGGCGCGUCUGGAGUGAUGCAGAGGUCGAUGGAAUUGCCGGUGUAGUGGUGAAAUGCGUAGAGAUCGGCAGGAACACCCAGGGGGAAGCCAGGCGACUGGGCAUCUACUGACGCUGAGGUGCGAGAGCGUGGGGAGCGAACCGG
Molecule: ribosomal RNA, 253 nt
Filed under: uncultured bacterium
Lineage: Bacteria
Description: partial 16S ribosomal RNA
Rfam family: Bacterial small subunit ribosomal RNA
Source: RNAcentral